GUUCAGGGAGGUAGUGACAAUAAAUACCUUACAGAGGUCUCGUUAACCGAGAUCUCUCAAACGGAAUGAGUACAACGUGAAUCCUUUAACGAGGAUCGACUGGAGGGCAAGCCUGGUGCCAGCAGCCGCGGUAAUUCCAGCUCCAGUAGCGUAUAUUAAAGCUGUUGCGGUUAAAAAGCUCGUAGUUGGAUAUCAGUGCGUGUCCGGUCCGGUAUGCCCGGCGGCGGCGCUCGCGCGUCACUGCUGGGCUCCCAAAUAUCGGCUGGCCGCAUUCAAUCGUGCCGGAUCCGUCGACGGGCCGUUCUUCGGAGGGGCCUGUUGGCGACCGGCGACGUUACCUUGAACAAAUUAGAGUGCUCAAAGCAGGCUCUGAAUGCCUGUAUACAUAUUCAUGGAAUUGGAGAAUACGUCCCUGGCUCGAUUUGGUUGGUUUUGAGAGUCGAAGGGAAAUGAUUAAUAGGGACUGACGGAGGCAUUCGUAUUGCGACGCGAGGGGUGAAAUCCUGUGACCGUCGCACGACGAACUACUGCGAAAGCAUUUGCCGAGAAUGUUUUCAUUAGUCAAGAACGAAAGUUAGAGGUUCGAAGGCGAUCAGAUACCGCCCUAGUUCUAACCGUAAACGAUGUCGACCAGCAAUCCGCAACGGUCACUACACGGACUGUGCGGGCAGCUUCCCCGGGGAAACCAGAGUGUAUGGACUCCGGGGGAAGUAUGGUUGCAAAGCUGAAACUUAAAGGAAUUGACGGAAGGGCACCACCAGGAGUGGAGCUUGCGGCUUAAUUUGACUCAACACGGGACAACUCACCAGGCCCGGACACCGUAAGGAUUGACAGACUGAUAGCUCUCUCUUGAUUCAGUGGGUGGUGGUGCAUGGCCGUUCUU
RNAcentral lists this ribosomal RNA (883 nucleotides) under Chthamalus moro. RNAcentral's name for it is "SSU rRNA". It matches the Rfam family "Eukaryotic small subunit ribosomal RNA", at positions 454 to 1295 of the family's 1831-position model. Lineage: Eukaryota; Metazoa; Arthropoda; Thecostraca; Balanomorpha; Chthamalidae. The record is from RNAcentral.